AAGACUAUAGACCUGCGGAGUACCUGCGGAGGGAUCAUUAUAGAGUGGUAAACCCCCCGUAAAAGGGGGGGACCUCCUGUCCUUUGUAGGCUCUUUUUUAAAAGGGCUUUUUUUAAUUUUCUGCUUCGGUGGGGUUAUCCCACCGGAACAACCUCAAAACUCUUAUCAAAAAAUCGUUCUGUCUGAGAACCUUUUAUAAUAAAAAAAAACUUUUAACAACGGAUCUCUAGAUCGGAAGAG
RNAcentral lists this unclassified non-coding RNA (240 nucleotides) under soil metagenome. RNAcentral describes it as "partial contains 5.8S ribosomal RNA, internal transcribed spacer 2, and large subunit ribosomal RNA". The record is from RNAcentral.